This is a ribosomal RNA of Aotus nancymaae (Ma's night monkey), 104 nucleotides long. The record is from Ensembl. NCBI's taxonomy places the organism in Eukaryota, Metazoa, Chordata, Mammalia, Primates, Aotidae.
GUCUAUGGCCAUAGCACCCUGAAUGCACCCAAUCUCAUCUGAUCGCAGAAGCUAAGCAGGGUUGGUCCUGGUUAGUAAUUAGAUGGGAGAGUGUAUCAAAGACA